UACGAAGGGGGCUAGCGUUGCUCGGAAUUACUGGGCGUAAAGCGCACGUAGGCGGAUCCUUAAGUCGGUGGUGAGAUCCUGAAGCUCAACUUCAGAACUGCCUUCGAUACUGGGGACCUUGAGUUCGGGAGAGGUGAGUGGAACUGCGAGUGUAGAGGUGAAAUUCGUAGAUAUUCGCAAGAACACCAGUGGCGAAGGCGGCUCACUGGCCCGAUACUGACGCUGAGGUGCGAAAGCGUGGGGAGCAAACAGG
This 253-nucleotide ribosomal RNA is filed under the name uncultured bacterium. RNAcentral describes it as "partial 16S ribosomal RNA". It matches the Rfam family "Bacterial small subunit ribosomal RNA", at positions 524 to 776 of the family's 1533-position model. The record is from RNAcentral.